This 433-nucleotide long non-coding RNA is filed under the name Canis lupus familiaris (dog). Its description in RNAcentral is "lncRNA (ENSCAFG00030023076.1)". The record is from RNAcentral. Lineage: Eukaryota; Metazoa; Chordata; Mammalia; Carnivora; Canidae.
UUUUUUUUUAAGUUUUCCCUAACAUAUGGGGAAGGGAGAAACAGCUCCCCCGGGGCCACCUAGAGAGUCCAGUUUUCUUUUUAUUACUCUAUGCAAAGAUUCUCAGACAAUCUUGGUUGUAAAGCGUGUAUCUUUAUAUUCUUUUUCCUUUCAUUUUGUAUAACCACAGGGAGAACAACCUGGGAAGUAAAUGUUCUUUUGCCAUGCUUUAUCCAGAGUGCUUGGUUUGUACGAGUGUCUGCAAGCUGACUCCUGGAAACGGAGAAUCACCUGCUGCCCCAAACAAAAUCCAGCAUCCCCCAGGACUGGGCAACUGCCAGAAUCUCUGUUCUGCAGCACAGCAUUUGGACAAAGACUCAAAAAUGUACCAAUUGCUAAGGUUUCCUCUCUGCAUUGGACCUUCCUGAUACCAGACCUUGCAAAUUCCAGCUGA